CGAACGCUGGCGGCAGGCCUAACACAUGCAAGUCGAACGAACCUUUCGGGGUUAGUGGCGGACGGGUGAGUAACACGUGGGAACGUGCCUUUAGGUUCGGAAUAACUCAGGGAAACUUGUGCUAAUACCGAAUGUGCCCUUCGGGGGAAAGAUUUAUCGCCUUUAGAGCGGCCCGCGUCUGAUUAGCUAGUUGGUUGAGGUAAUGGCUCACCAAGGCGACGAUCAGUAGCUGGUCUGAGAGGAUGAUCAGCCACAUUGGGACUGAGACACGGCCCAAACUCCUACGGGAGGCAGCAGUGGGGAAUCUUGCGCAAUGGGCGAAAGCCUGACGCAGCCAUGCCGCGUGAAUGAUGAAGGUCUUAGGAUUGUAAAAUUCUUUCACCGGGGACGAUAAUGACGGUACCCGGAGAAGAAGCCCCGGCUAACUUCGUG
RNAcentral lists this ribosomal RNA (432 nucleotides) under uncultured bacterium. RNAcentral's name for it is "partial 16S ribosomal RNA". It matches the Rfam family "Bacterial small subunit ribosomal RNA", at positions 30 to 507 of the family's 1533-position model. The record is from RNAcentral.